UCCCCUCCCGUCCCAAAGCCCCAAUCGCCUCCCAGCCUCGAACCCCGCGUCGCCGCGACCUCCAUCCCCCCCGCGGUCCGCCUCAUCUCCUCUCCCUCUAAUCUCGUCGCGCCGCCGCCUUUUCCUCUCUCCAUCCCCGUCCCUGCCACGAGCCCCUCCCCUUCCCCGUCCCGACGGCCUCAUCCUCUGCUGCUCUCCUUGUUGGGUGUUGCUCCAGAUCGCGGGAGACGAUCUGCAGCCGGGUCUGCGCAGUUGAGGUGAGGAACGGAAGUGGGGGAAGGAGUAGCGACGCUGGUGUCAGGGGACGGAGGUGAGGGAAGGAGCAGCAAGGGGCCACCUCAUGCCCCGUAGUCCGCUCCUCCUUGUCAGCGCCAUCGCAACUCCAGCAACGACAGUUCAUCUCCAUGGUCCUCCUCCUCCUGUUUCUUUCCUUCCACACUAAUCAGCUCAUUUUUCUUGUUCAUACCUGUAGCCUGUAGGCCAUACAUGCCCAUUUUUCUUCUCUGUACUUUUUCUUGUUUAUACCUGUAGAAAAAAUUGUGGCAGUGAUGAUUGAUCUAAGUUACCUCUGGAGAUGUAGGUAGUAGUCUUCUCUGCACUCUCAUGUUUCAUAAUUUACCCCCUUGGACACUCUCACCGAUGGUUCUAGAUGCUAUUUGCCUGAUGAAUUGGUUCGCAUAUAAUGUUUAACAAGAUGCAUCUUCUCCCCUGCUUUUUUUUGCUGCAGGACUUUAUUCCUUGCACUCUUGAGUCUUUUGAGAAGGAGAAAAUUAUUGUUGGGAGGCAAAAAGACUGAUGAUGAGUUCCUGAAACAGAGUGCAACAGUGAAGAACAAGAGGCCUUUUUUAUUGAUGAGUCGGUCGAAUAGACUGUAGAUGAUUGCCAAAAAGUGGUUAUCGAAGGAUUGGAGUCAAGCUUAGGAUCAGUCUAUCCUAUGGGCCUAUACUACAAUGUUUAUUUGGCUUGUUAGAAUACAUGUAGAAUGAGGUAUUUCUCUCGUUACUUAUUUUGCUAUAGAACCCUGUUGGUUGCAUUCUUGGGUGCUUCGGCAAGCAGCAAUUGCACAAGUUGAUUGUGGUUACUACUUUUGAUUAUAAUUUGCAAGCAGUCCUGUGAGGCCAUUGUGGCAUGUGCUUAGACUUCUAUUGAUGUGUAGUGCAUCAACCGACAUAGGAGAAAUCAGGUUCAUAGAUGGGUGCUUUAUGCUGGGGUGAAAGAGUUUUAGGCCGUUGAUUUCCCAAUGAAGGAGCUUCGAGACAAGCGCUGCAAUUAUGUAGUUUUGUAUAUGACAUAAUCUGUACGAACCCUCUCCUUGUUUCUUUUUGCUCUUGGUUUUGCCCCUGUUGAUUAAUGAUGCUACCAAUUAUUCUAGCUAUUUUCAUUGUACCAUGUGCCUAUGAGAUCUGCACAGACAGAAUUCGUGCUGAUUUAUUUAGUGGUGGCACAUAUGACAGCUACAACAGCCUGGUAAUUAGUCCUCAAAUAAGGUAGUUUCCCUCUUCCCUUUACAUAUCAUGGAUAUAUGUGGUGGUUCCUUGCCAUUGCUGAAGGGAGGACUCUAAAUGUAUUUUUGUGUUAUCCCUGAUUAUGUUAAUCAGGCCGUGUAUGUUCUGUUGGUCUAUUUUGAAUUUUCGUUUGUCAACUUUUACAGAAUUUCAAAGAUGUAAUUUUCUCUCAUGUAGUAGCCUCAUUUUUCAUAUAUAUACAAUAGUCUAUUUUCCUUUCUGCAAAUUAGACCAAUAGUCUAUUUUAGUCAACUUAAGGGUAUGUUGAAUAUGACAAUUAAUGAAGAUGGCCAUUCUUGCUGUCGAAAGUACAGAAUCUGACUCAUUUUAAAGUAGUACGUUCUCUUUAUGACAAGACUAAGCUUCUACUUUAGCAAGUGUUUUACUUCAACACAAAUUGCUGCAGGAAAGAAAGCAUUUUUUUGCAACAAAGCAAGCAUUAAACGAGCUGAAGUGUCUGGAGCAGAAGAGCUUGAAUUUUUUGCAAACGUAAAUUUAAGGUAUUUAAAUGGUGGAGAUUUGUGAAAUCUGCAGACCAUUGUAUAUGUCUCAACGUAGGCUCAACCCAGUUUCCAUAUUUUAAAGGAGGCUGCACCACCAAUACCUCCGACAGAACAGCUAGCAGCGACCACAACAGUCCACAGAAGCAUCACUAGCUGUGACCCUCGAUAUACCUGAUGCCCUCUAUGCCUCUCCAUCCCUUUCGGCUGCUUGGUUGCGAGAAAGUACAUUCUCUGCCUUCAUUCACGUAUGUUGCUGACAAGGAUCGGAAAUCUCUGUUCCCCUCGAGGACUGAAAAUUGUCGAAACAGUCAAUUAUAUGGUGUUGAAUUAUUGAAUACUACCAAUUUAUUUGUUAAUGGCCAGUAGAAAAAGGAAGGCAACUUAUUUUUCAAAACUGAUGAGCAAUGAGUGCACUCUACAAGAUUUUCAUGGCAACAAACAUGAUAGACAUCUUGGAUCGGGCCCUUCUUAGACGACUCAUGAUAAGGUGCAUUAAUUAUGGAUGCCGUGCAAUCAGCAGCCUAAUACAAGGAGGACCCCAUGAAGCAAAGGGGAGAGGACAAUGAUAUGCUCACAUGGGAUCCCUUUCCUUCAGUGUAUUAAACGACAGUAUUCGUGGAGGACAUCAACAUUAGUAUGGUCUAUGACGAGGGAUCCCCAGGAUCAACAUCGUCAAGGACAAGAACGCCUGAUGAUAAUGACUACCUGAUAGUGAUUCCUUAUGCCCACAUAUUUGACCUUAUGCUAAAAGCUUUAAAGUUGCCCCCUGCAACUUACCAUCACAAGAUAUGCUCAGGCGGCGAGAAUCAUGUGACAGUUACUUUCAUUUCUUCCUUGCAAUUACUAGAUGGUUUGCUUGUUCCAAGCUCAAUAUCGGGUGCAAUUUUAGAUGGCUAUGAAGAUGCAGAAGACAGUGCUGCUAUCGAAGCUAUUAGAUACAUGGAAAAUGCAUAUGGCAGAGAAAUGAGAGACUACCACUACACCCAUGUCAAGAGGCUAGAAAAUCAAGUGAAGCACCUGGUCACAUGGUUGGUUGGUUGCAGCGAAUGAGACAAUCAAGCUGCGCAAAGGAUGCUACCACGCUGUCCGGUAUAUGAGCUCAUAUUCUACCCAAAUACAAAACACAACGACUACUCGGCACCUGAGAGGACAUGAUAACACCAGGGGGGUUAUGAAAGCAGCACUUGCAAGCAUUGAAAAACGGACACAAAGGCUACGUUAUAUUGUUAUGAAGUCCGAGCAGCGCCUGGAGACCACAAGAAAUAGUGUCUGGUAAAUUAAAUCAAUGUGUCAUAACCAGCACGCUUCUGUGGUUACUAAAACAGCCACCUUUUAUUUCGUAUCGAUCAAACCAGCACCUUUCCCAUUUUGGAGUACUCUGAGCAAGAUAUGUAUAGCCUUUAGUCUUCCAUUGCUGCCUCUAUGGUGAAAAGUAGUGAAUGGUGCAGUCUAUAAACUUUAGAUUUCGUUAUCUCUGUGGUCAAGAGCAGUUUAUCAUCACUUAUUAUAUAUGUAUAGGAUUGCUAUUCUACUGUUAUUUCCAGAACACUAUAAUUAAAGAAACAACCUCUCCUUCUAUGCA
Long non-coding RNA from Triticum dicoccoides, 3590 nucleotides. RefSeq lists it as uncharacterized. The transcript is spliced from 7 exons. The record is from RefSeq and is a predicted model, not a curated record. Lineage: Eukaryota; Viridiplantae; Streptophyta; Magnoliopsida; Poales; Poaceae.